Molecule: unclassified non-coding RNA, 489 nt
Filed under: Hevea brasiliensis (rubber tree)
Lineage: Eukaryota; Viridiplantae; Streptophyta; Magnoliopsida; Malpighiales; Euphorbiaceae
Source: RNAcentral
AAAGAUGUAGUUGAGUAUUCUCCUUAUCUACCUUACCUUGCUCAAUGCGUACUCAUGAGACCAUUCUCUUAAUAUCAGCUGCUCUCUUUUUGCAUAUCGCACUUCAUCAUCUUUUCUAUUUUCAUCAUAUUUUACUCAGGCAAACACUCUCAAGACCUUAGCCUAAUCUGCACUUAUUUCUGUCAAGUGAUCAGUGGCGUCAAGAUACAUCUUUUAUUCCUAGGAUUUCCAUGAAACAUUCUCUCUAUCCAGUUUGGUGUUACAGAUAAUAGAGUUCAUUUAAAUCCCGAAAGCAGAAGUUAAUUCAAUCCAAGGAAGAGCCAUCAUGCCUUUUGGGUUGGUCUCCGCGUGGAACAAGCGCCGAAGAAGCAGGUCCCAAGAACACACAGAUCCCUGGGUUUACAAACCUGUGGAGUUUUGGCAACUCGAGGAGCAAACUCCCCAGGCCACACAAAGACACCAUGUAUCUUCAGUUUUCACACUCAAGGA